Vicia faba (fava bean) is the source of this 198-nucleotide non-coding RNA. The record is from the annotation of a GenBank genome assembly. Lineage: Eukaryota; Viridiplantae; Streptophyta; Magnoliopsida; Fabales; Fabaceae.
AUGAAGCCUCUGCUUUCUUACUGUUUUCAGGUAUUCAGAUCAUCAUCUAGAAGAUGUACCAAAUGCAUUAGAAAUAUGCACAUGAAAAGAAGACUGGGCAUGACGAGAUCUAUUUCUCUCUGUUUUGUAACUUUUCAUUUACUGUUCAAAAGUUUAAGCUAUUAUGUUGUGAUUUUUUAUUUCCUUUUACACAACUAA